Molecule: ribosomal RNA, 1250 nt
Filed under: Phytoplasma sp.
Lineage: Bacteria; Bacillati; Mycoplasmatota; Mollicutes; Acholeplasmatales; Acholeplasmataceae
Description: bacterial SSU rRNA
Rfam family: Bacterial small subunit ribosomal RNA
Source: RNAcentral
GACUGGAUAGGAAGAUAAUAGGCAUCUUUUAUCUUUUAAAAGACGUAGUAAUAGGUAUGCUUUAGGAGGGGCUUGCGCCAUAUUAGUUAGUUGGUAGGGUAAUGGCCUACCAAGACGAUGAUGUGUAGCUGGACUGAGAGGUUGAACAGCCACAUUGGGACUGAGACACGGCCCAAACUCCUACGGGAGGCAGCAGUAGGGAAUUUUCGGCAAUGGAGGAAACUCUGACCGAGCAACGCCGCGUGAAUGACGAAGUACUUCGGUAUGUAAAGUUCUUUUAUCAAGGAAGAAAAGCAAAUGGCGAACCAUUUGUUUGCCGGUACUUGAUGAAUAAGCCCCGGCUAAUUAUGUGCCAGCAGCCGCGGUAAGACAUAAGGGGCAAGUGUUAUCCGGAAUUAUUGGGCGUAAAGGGUGCGUAGGCGGUCUAGUAAGUCAGUGGUGUAAUGGCAACGCUUAACGUUGUGCGGCUAUUGAAACUGCUAAACUUGAGUUAGAUAGAGGCGAGUGGAAUUCCAUGUGUAGCGGUAAAAUGCGUAAAUAUAUGGAGGAACACCAGAGGCGUAGGCGGCUCGCUGGGUCUUAACUGACGCUGAGGCACGAAAGCGUGGGGAGCAAACAGGAUUAGAUACCCUGGUAGUCCACGCCGUAAACGAUGAGUAGUAAGUGUCGGGUUAAACCGGUACUGAAGUUAACACAUUAAGUACUCCGCCUGAGUAGUACGUACGCAAGUAUGAAACUUAAAGGAUUUGACGGGACUCCGCACAAGCGGUGGAUCAUGUUGUAUAAUUCGAAGAUACCCGAAAAACCUUACCAGGUCUUGACAUGUUUUUGCAAAAUGAUAGUAAUAUCGUGGAGGUUACCAGAAACACAGGUGGUGCAUGGUUGUCGUCAGCUCGUGUCGUGAGAUGUUAGGUUAAGUCCUAAAACGAGCGAAACCCUUAUCGUUAGUUGCCAGCACGUUAUGGUGGCGACUUUAACGAGACUGCCAAUGAUAAAUUGGAGGAAGGUGAGGAUCACGUCAAAUCAGCAUGCCCCUUAUGACCUGGGCUACAAACGUGAUACAAUGGCUGUUACAAAGGGUAGCUGAAACGCAAGUUCUUGGCCAAUCCCCAAAAACAGUCCCAGUCCGGAUUGAAGUCUGCAACUCGACUUCAUGAAGUUGGAAUCGCUAGUAAUCGCGAAUCAGCAUGUCGCCGUGAAUACGUUCUCGGGGUUUGUACACACCGCCCGUCAAACCACGAUAGUUGGCA